This 253-nucleotide ribosomal RNA is filed under the name uncultured bacterium. RNAcentral describes it as "partial 16S ribosomal RNA". It matches the Rfam family "Bacterial small subunit ribosomal RNA", at positions 524 to 776 of the family's 1533-position model. The record is from RNAcentral.
UACAGAGGGGGCUAGCGUUGUUCGGAAUUACUGGGCGUAAAGGGCGCGUAGGCGGCCCUCUAAGUCGAACGUGAAAUCCCCGGGCUCAACCCGGGAACUGCGUCCGAUACUGGAGGGCUCGAAUCCGGGAGAGGGAUGUGGAAUUCCAGGUGUAGCGGUGAAAUGCGUAGAUAUCUGGAGGAACACCGGUGGCGAAGGCGGCAUCCUGGACCGGUAUUGACGCUGAGGCGCGAAAGCCAGGGGAGCGAACGGG